RNAcentral lists this ribosomal RNA (208 nucleotides) under uncultured bacterium. Its description in RNAcentral is "partial 16S ribosomal RNA". It matches the Rfam family "Bacterial small subunit ribosomal RNA", at positions 568 to 774 of the family's 1533-position model. The record is from RNAcentral.
CGCGUAGGCGGCUGACCAAGUCCGGGGUGAAAUCCUGCAGCUUAACUGUAGAAGUGCCUUGGAUACUGGUCGGCUCGAGGGAGGUAGGGGUCUGUGGAACUGCUGGUGGAGCGGUGAAAUGCGUUGAUAUCAGCAGGAACGCCGGUGGCGAAAGCGACGGACUGGAUCUCUUCUGACGCUGGAGGCGCGAAAGGCUAGGGAGCAAACG